CGCUGGCGGCAGGCCUAACACAUGCAAGUCGAACGAAGUCUUCGGACUUAGUGGCGGACGGGUGAGUAACGCGUGGGAACAUACCCAAAGGUACGGAAUAGCCUCGGGAAACUGGGAGUAAUACCGUAUGUGCCCUUCGGGGGAAAGAUUUAUCGCCUUUGGAUUGGCCCGCGUUGGAUUAGGUAGUUGGUGGGGUAAUGGCCUACCAAGCCGACGAUCCAUAGCUGGUUUGAGAGGAUGAUCAGCCACACUGGGACUGAGACACGGCCCAGACUCCUACGGGAGGCAGCAGUGGGGAAUCUUAGACAAU
Molecule: ribosomal RNA, 310 nt
Filed under: alpha proteobacterium R2A163
Lineage: Bacteria; Pseudomonadati; Pseudomonadota; Alphaproteobacteria
Description: bacterial SSU rRNA
Rfam family: Bacterial small subunit ribosomal RNA
Source: RNAcentral